Molecule: ribosomal RNA, 495 nt
Filed under: uncultured bacterium
Lineage: Bacteria
Description: partial 16S ribosomal RNA
Rfam family: Bacterial small subunit ribosomal RNA
Source: RNAcentral
AUGAACGCUGGCGGCGUGCCUAAUACAUGCAAGUCGAGCGAACAGACGAGGAGCUUGCUCCUCUGACGUUAGCGGCGGACGGGUGAGUAACACGUGGAUAACCUACCUAUAAGACUGGGAUAACUUCGGGAAACCGGGGCUAAUACCGGAUAAUAUAUUGAACCGCAUGGUUCAAUAGUGAAAGACGGUUUUGCUGUCACUUAUAGAUGGAUCCGCGCCGCAUUAGCUAGUUGGUAAGGUAACGGCUUACCAAGGCGACGAUGCGUAGCCGACCUGAGAGGGUGAUCGGCCACACUGGAACUGAGACACGGUCCAGACUCCUACGGGAGGCAGCAGUAGGGAAUCUUCCGCAAUGGGCGAAAGCCUGACGGGGCAACGCCGCGUGAGUGAUGAAGGUCUUCGGAUCGUAAAACUCUGUUAUUAGGGAAGAACAAAUGUGUAAGUAACUAUGCACGUCUUGACGGUACCUAAUCAGAAAGCCACGGCUAACUACGU